UACUGCCUACGGGGGGCAGCAGUGAGGAAUAUUGGUCAAUGGGCGGAAGCCUGAACCAGCCACGUCGCGUGAGGGAAUAAGGCCCUACGGGUCGUAAACCUCUUUUGCCGGGGAGCAAGGGCCGGGACGCGUCCCGGCCCGGAGAGUACCCGGAGACAAAGCAUCGGCUAACUCCGUGCCAGCAGCCGCGGUAAUACGGAGGAUGCGAGCGUUAUCCGGAUUUAUUGGGUUU
RNAcentral lists this ribosomal RNA (232 nucleotides) under uncultured bacterium. Its description in RNAcentral is "partial 16S ribosomal RNA". It matches the Rfam family "Bacterial small subunit ribosomal RNA", at positions 334 to 561 of the family's 1533-position model. The record is from RNAcentral.